CCUACGGGAGGCAGCAGUGAGGAAUAUUGGUCAAUGGGAGAGAUCCUGAACCAGCCAAGCCGCGUGAGGGAAGACGGCCCUAUGGGUUGUAAACCUCUGUUGUCGGAGAACAAAACCCGGGACGAGUCCCGGACUGCGUGUAUCCGAAGAAAAAGCAUCGGCUAACUCCGUGCCAGCAGCCGCGGUAAUACGGAGGAUGCGAGCGUUAUCCGGAUUUAUUGGGUGUAAAGGGUGCGUAGGCGGUCUGUUAAGUCAGCGGGAAAAUUGCGGGGCUCAACCCCGUCGAGCCGUUGAUACUGGCAGACUUGAGUUGGCGAGAGGUACGCGGAAUGCGCGGUGUAGCGGUGAAAUGCAUAGAUAUCGCGAAGAACUCGGGUUGCGAAGGCAGCGUACCGGCGCCAGACUGACGCUGAGGCACGAAAGCGUGGGGAUCGAAAAGGAUUAGAUACCCCUGUAGUC
Molecule: ribosomal RNA, 459 nt
Filed under: uncultured bacterium
Lineage: Bacteria
Description: partial 16S ribosomal RNA
Rfam family: Bacterial small subunit ribosomal RNA
Source: RNAcentral